RNAcentral lists this ribosomal RNA (496 nucleotides) under uncultured bacterium. Its description in RNAcentral is "bacterial SSU rRNA". It matches the Rfam family "Bacterial small subunit ribosomal RNA", at positions 8 to 477 of the family's 1533-position model. The record is from RNAcentral.
AGAGUUUGAUCAUGGCUCAGAACGAACGCUGGCGGCGUGCUUAACACAUGCAAGUCGAACGCGAAAGUUUUCUCUCGAGAAGACGAGUAGAGUGGCGCACGGGUGAGUAACGCGUAAAUAAUCUACCCCUGCAUCUGGGAUAACCCACCGAAAGGUGUGCUAAUACCGGAUACGUUCUUUUAACCGCGAGGUUUUAAGAAGAAAGGUGGCCUCUGAUAUAAGCUACUGUGCGGGGAGGAGUUUGCGUACCAUUAGCUAGUUGGUAGGGUAAUGGCCUACCAAGGCAUCGAUGGUUAGCGGGUCUGAGAGGAUGAUCCGCCACACUGGAACUGGAACACGGACCAGACUCCUACGGGAGGCAGCAGUGAGGAAUAUUGCGCAAUGGGGGCAACCCUGACGCAGCGACGCCGCGUGGAUGAUGAAGGCCUUCGGGUCGUAAAAUCCUGUCAGAUGGAAAGAAGUGCAUAUGGAUUAAUAAUUCAUAUGUUUGACGGUA